Zea mays is the source of this 1675-nucleotide RNA transcript. RefSeq lists it as uncharacterized. The record is from RefSeq and is a predicted model, not a curated record. The transcript is spliced from 7 exons. Lineage: Eukaryota; Viridiplantae; Streptophyta; Magnoliopsida; Poales; Poaceae.
GGGCCCGCUCCACGAAAACCCCGCAAACCGCCGCCAACCCUGGCAGCCCGAUCUCCGUAUUCAUCGCCGCUGCAAACCGCCCCCAACCCCGCCCGCCCGACCCAUUUGUCGCCGCCGCGCCGCAAACCGCCCGCCAACCCCACCCACCAACCCCGCCCGUCCGACCUCCGGAAUCGUAUCCACGGCGCGAUUCGCAGAAGGAUUUGGAUGCCGCGGCUACCAACAAUCCCGAGCCCCCCGCCGCAAUCCCGUCUGUCGCGCCGUGACCGCCACAUAAUCCGCCGCGCGCUCCGAGCUCAAUCCGGGGCGCGCGAAGCCCCGAGCUCAAUCCCCCGCAAGCCGCCCUGAGCUCAAUCCGCGAUCACAAGCACUGGAGCCGUUGAUUGUCUAUGGCGGAGAGGAAAAGGGAGGAGACGAGGAGCAGUCGCGCCGCCUCGGUGGACGCAAGAGCAAGGCCAGAGCUACACUUGGACAUACGCGAGGAAGCUGCCAAGAAGAACAGGGAACCACCGACCGCGUCCAACAUACGCCGGCAUUCAUCGUCACUGCAGGUCCGUGCCGCCUACCCGCAGCCGGGGUUGGCCAGCGCCAGCCACCAGGCCGUCGCGGCUUCAACUUCCAACGUCGUGCCCCGCCUGGCAACCGACCGUGUCCACCGCCUCCUGGCUAGUUGGGCAGGGUAGACACAAAGGUCUCAUCCAGUGCUCCACUCCUCCGUAGUAUAAUAACUUCAUUGGAUUUAAUUAUUGUGGCAUCAUUUUCUACUCCGAGACACCUGUUGAAUCUGGAAGUACAUGGUGCCUUAUUCCUCUCUUUUCUCCUUAUGGUACAAGGAUGAUUACUUUAAUUGAAUUGGUCUGCCACUGGCUGCUGCCAUCCACCGCGGGCUCGGUCGCCACGUCGACGCCAUCCCUGUCCUCGAGCGCGCCGUCACAGUCGUGGCGCCGGCACAAGAAUCGUCUGCCGACAGCGAGCCUGAGGCCGGUGCAGCCGGCGGCGACGACUACCAGCAGCUGCAGCCUGUCGAGCCCGACUAGAGGGGUGAGUGGUGCUGCUCCUGAUGAGAUCGCUGGAGGCUUAAUGGAGAUUCCUAUCAUCUAUGAUGCACUUGGCGAUCUCGAUGAGGCCCAAAAGCUUCUUCAUAUGGCACUCAGGUUGCUCGAGGGCUCAUCGAGGGAGUGGAGCAUUAUUGCCGGUGUUGUGGCACAAAUGGGCGUUCUGUACUACAUGGUGGGGAGAUGGGGCUAGCUUGUGUGUAGCUGUUCAAGAUAGAUGAGGUUGCACAGUUGUUUGAGGAGGCAAGGGCGGUUCUGGAGCAGGAGUGUGGCGCUUCUCAUCCUAAUACUCUUGGUGUGUACAACAACCUUGCUGCAAUCUAUAAUGCCAUGGGAAGUCCUAAUCUGUAGUACAGAUAGAUGGAGUAGACAGCCACAUAUUUGUGCCAAACAUUUGCUUCAGGCAAUGGUCUGAAGCGCAUCCGAUUCAGGGCUCAUAUUACAAAGCUUGAAAACAAGAAGACUCAUCUCCAAUCUAAACUUACAGAGGAGGAGAAAGAAAAUACAGUCCUCCAGGCAAAUUUAGAAAAACGAAAAGAAGCAUUACACAAGCGCCGUGUUGAAAGGGAAAUGUGCCCUUGGGCCAUUUCUAAGUAUUUUGGUGAUUGAGUGCAAACACA